AUUAACUCGUCCAAAUCUCAAAGUUAUAAUUCCAGUAUUGAGUGGCAACCAAAAAUUUGAGCAACGUUUUCGCGGGAGCAACUCAAGAAGUCAACAAUGUCGCUUCACUCAGCAUUCAGAGAAAGGCUUCGAGAUAUGGAGAACACUCGCAAUCUGAGACUCUCUCUCCUCCAGGUUUUGCUCUUCAUUGACCUCAUUUAUCACCAUCACCAUCACCAUCACCAUCACCAUCCUAAUCUCUUCUCACUCACACUCUAAAAAUGGAACCAACUUUUGGUUUUAGGACGAAAAAGAUCUACAAAGGAGUAAAUCUCUUUUAUUAUCAGCUAAACAUGCCAAAAUCAGAUUAAUGGAGCAGAAAUGCUUGAUGUUAGAUCGCAAAUUUGCAUCCGACAACUUCAAAAUAUCUUCUCUCAAAUGUGAAAUUGAAUUCCUCGAUCGGAAAUAUGAAACCUGCGCUCAACAAUUAAGGGAUUUGAAAGUUAAGGUAGAGGAACUUGAGGAAUUGACAACGGAGAGAAGAAUUUUUACGCUGUUAAAUGCUCUGAAAUGUGCGAUUUUAAGACUGAGAUUCAGAAGUCUGUUGAAGAAAUCAGUCACAGAAUCAAUGAAUUGAGGUAUAGUAGAGAUAAGCUCAAUCUAUGCCACUUAGGACUUCAAGAGAGGAACCGCAAGGAAUUAAACCAUGACAUAGAAGCUGCUGAGAUGAGAAAGUCAGAACUUUUAGCUUUGAAGCAAAAGGUGAACAGUAGCCUGGAAUCUAAUAAAGAAUUGAGAGCAGAGUUGCAAGAGCAGCUUCAGAGUUUGAGGUGAUAGAUAAAAGUAGACUCUCAUGUGCAUACCAGAGAAGAAAGAAUUUUUUGCAGAGCUUUCUCUCUCCUCUAUGGCGUCAUUGAUGGAGUAAUAUUUCAAAGUUUUAGGUCGAUUUUUCGCAAACUCACACUAUUCUUCCAUUAUUCAACAGGUAUUACUCGAAAUUUUUAAUUUGAUAUUAUUUACUUGCAGAUUUUUGUUCGAUUUUUUUCUGAUUUCAAUGGCGUUUUUUGUUUGAUUUUUCUUCGAUUUUGUUAGACUCUUGUUCGAUGUUUGUUCGAUUUUGUUCGACUCUUGUUCGAUGUUUGUUCGAUUUUGUUCGAUUUUUGUUCGAUUUUUGUUCGAUACAGGAAUUAGGUUUUAAGCUGUGGCAAAAACUAUCGAUAGAGGAAGUAGGUUUUACUUGUGGCAAAAUUUAUGAUACAGCAGAGGGUCACUAUGAUAAAUCAAAGGGUCACCAUGAUAUAGAAAUAGGAAAUUUUAUUUUUUGUUGACUAAUUUCUUUAAACAUGUGAUAGAUGGGUUACUAUGAUAUAACACAUGGUCACUAUGAUAUUUUUUCAUAGUUUUA
This is an RNA transcript of Beta vulgaris subsp. vulgaris (sugar beet), 1384 nucleotides long. RefSeq lists it as uncharacterized. The transcript has 4 exons. The record is from RefSeq and is a predicted model, not a curated record. NCBI's taxonomy places the organism in Eukaryota, Viridiplantae, Streptophyta, Magnoliopsida, Caryophyllales, Amaranthaceae.